This is a long non-coding RNA of Microtus oregoni (creeping vole), 224 nucleotides long. RefSeq lists it as uncharacterized. The record is from RefSeq and is a predicted model, not a curated record. NCBI's taxonomy places the organism in Eukaryota, Metazoa, Chordata, Mammalia, Rodentia, Cricetidae. The transcript is spliced from 3 exons.
AGCCUUUCCCUGGAACAAUUGUCACUCAACGUGAUCAAUAAAAUAUAUGAACUACAAAAGAAAUACUGGAAAUCCCUGAACAUCUUCACAUCAUCUCACUGCUUCUCUGGAAACUAGCUUGUAGGAAAAAUGCAUAAAAAAGCAAAUACCUUCCCUUAAAUUAGCUUGCUUGAGAGAUACAUAACAGAACUGGAUGUUUACACUACUCCAGGUCUCUGCUUGAU